This 241-nucleotide unclassified non-coding RNA is filed under the name Hymenogaster sp. Its description in RNAcentral is "partial contains 5.8S ribosomal RNA, internal transcribed spacer 2, and large subunit ribosomal RNA". The stretch from base 1 to 52 matches the Rfam family "5.8S ribosomal RNA", at positions 103 to 154 of the family's 154-position model. The record is from RNAcentral. Lineage: Eukaryota; Fungi; Basidiomycota; Agaricomycetes; Agaricales; Hymenogastraceae.
AACGCACAUUGCGCCCCUUGGUAUUCCGAGGGGCAUGCCUGUUCGAGCGUCAUUACAACCCUCAAGCACUGCUUGGUAUUGGGCUCCGCUGCUUAUACAGCAGGCCUUAAAAUUAGUGGCGGUGUCAUUAGGCCCUGAGCGUAGUAAAUAUCCUCGCUAUAGGGACUUGGUGAUUACUGGCCAGCAACCCCCACUUUCUAAGUUUGACCUCGGAUCAGGUAGGGAUACCCGCUGAACUUAA